RNAcentral lists this ribosomal RNA (253 nucleotides) under uncultured bacterium. RNAcentral's name for it is "partial 16S ribosomal RNA". It matches the Rfam family "Bacterial small subunit ribosomal RNA", at positions 524 to 776 of the family's 1533-position model. The record is from RNAcentral.
UACAGAGGGCUCAAGCGUUGUUCGGAUUCAUUGGGCGUAAAGGGCGCGUAGGCGGUGGGGUAAGUCUGGUGUGAAAUCUCGGAGCUCAACUUCGAAAUUGCACUGGAUACUGCUCUGCUAGAGGGCUGGAGAGGAGAUCGGAAUUCACGGUGUAGCAGUGAAAUGCGUAGAUAUCGUGAGGAAGACCAGUGGCGAAGGCGGAUCUCUGGACAGCUCCUGACGCUGAGGCGCGAAAGCGUGGGGAGCAAACAGG